Molecule: ribosomal RNA, 188 nt
Filed under: uncultured bacterium
Lineage: Bacteria
Description: partial 16S ribosomal RNA
Rfam family: Bacterial small subunit ribosomal RNA
Source: RNAcentral
CCUAGGGGAGGCAGCAGUGAGGAAUAUUGGUCAAUGGGCGGAAGCCUGAACCAGCCAAGUAGCGUGCAGGAUGACGGCCCUAUGGGUUGUAAACUGCUUUUAUACAGGAAUAAAGUUAGCCACGUGUGGUUAUUUGUAGGUACUGUAUGAAUAAGGACCGGCUAAUUCCGUGCCAGCAGCCGCGGUAA